Molecule: ribosomal RNA, 468 nt
Filed under: uncultured bacterium
Lineage: Bacteria
Description: partial 16S ribosomal RNA
Rfam family: Bacterial small subunit ribosomal RNA
Source: RNAcentral
GACGAACGCUGGCGGCGUGCUUAACACAUGCAAGUCGAACGGAAAGGCCCUGCUUUUGUGGGGUGCUCGAGUGGCGAACGGGUGAGUAACACGUGAGUAACCUGCCCUUGACUUUGGGAUAACAUCAGGAAACUGGGGCUAAUACCGGAUAGGAGCUCCUGCUGCAUGGUGGGGGUUGGAAAGUGUCGGCGGUUGGGGAUGGACUCGCGGCUUAUCGGCUUGUUGGGGGGGUAGUCGCUUACCAAGGCUUCGACGGGUAGCCGGCCUGAGAGGGGGACCGGCCACAUGGGGACUGAGAUAGGGCGCAGAAUCCUACGGGAGGCAGCAGUGGAGAAUCUUGCACAGUGGGCGGAAGCCUGAGGCAGCAACGCCGCGUGCGGGAUGACGUCUUUCGGGGUGUAAACAGCUUUCGCCGGUGACGAAGCGUGAGUGACGGUAAUGGGUAAAGAAGCACCGGCUAACUACGUG